UGCCCCUAGAAACAAGGAGAACCAGAGCCACUCAAUUAGAGGGGCCACCACAAUAACUGUACUGUUGGCAUCUUUCAUAGGCUCCUUAGGGUAUUGCUAAAAAGAGUAAUUUUACAAUUGAAUUUCAAUUAUUCUCAGAAAACAGGAAUAAGACCCCCACAUGAAAGAAGGAUUGUAAGGAUUUUUAAGCUGAAAGGUAAUAUGCUCAGGUCUGCAUUUUAGAAGGAGCAAACUAACUACUCUAUGGAGAAUAGAUCAGAGAGUUUGAGACCAGAGGUGAGGACUCCAGUGGGGACGUCAGGACUGGAGGUCCCAGGAAGGUCAGUGGUGGCAGUAGUAGGUGUGAAUUUUAGUCCCAAUUCUUCCACCUCCCUGCAUCCACACUCUGGCUAUAUGAGACUUUGGGCUUGGUCUUGUGACUUACUUUGAUCAAUGGAAUGGGGCAGAUGAGUCUUGAUACCAGGUCUGAGAGCUGAUGGUAAGAGACCUUACAUAUUUCUACUUUUCCUCUCAUGCAUCUGCCAUCACCAUGAGAAGAACCUGUCCAGCUUGGCCGUGGACCCUAGGAGGAUGAGGGACACGUACAGCAGAGAUGCCCACCAGCUUGCCAACCCCUGAGUGAGCCCAGCCAAGGUCAAAAAAUACAGAAAAGAAAGAAUCUACCACAGAUACCCUUUUAUUAGAUCAGAAGAGAGAAAGCUUGUAGACGCCUCGUGAACUCACCCCUUCCACUGCGAAGUGCCAGACCCUGGGCUGGACACCGUGGGAGAGGCCAGCUGGGCAAGUCUGUCCUUCGGGGAGGUCUGGGGUGUUUGGGGAAGGGAGAUAGGGACACACAAUCCUCACAACAACUGCAAAAAGAAGUGUGAGCACGUGGGGGCAGAGGGAGCGUCAGUCAGACGGGAGGUGAUCGGGACUGGAGAGAGAUGUCCCAGAGGAGGUGGCUUGGGCAGGUGGGCUUUGACUGGCGUCUAUGGGAGAGGAGCCCGUAGGAAGAAGAGAGAGCAGGACAGCUGGGAUUGAGUUGGGCUGAAGCCGGACCGGGGAGGGUGUGGCAAGAGAUGAGGCUGAACCGGUGGGCUGGAGGAGGGGGUCCCAGGAAAAGCAGCUCUGGUCCCACCGUCAGCCCUGCCUUUUAUUAUUAAUCUCUCUUGUGAAUUCAGGUGGGAAAAGGCCUGCUGAGAGUAGUGCCAGAAUUCACAGGAGAAAGAUUCUGUAAUUUCUUUGAGCUCUGUGACUCUGGACAAAGUAUUCAGUAUUAAUGCAGUUGACCAUGACGUCUUCUGUGUGCGCGACUGACAGACCAAAUUACCUUUCCUUAUCUCCUGGCGAGAAAAAAGGACCAUUUUCUUGACAUAUUUCAUAAUCAUUUCACCUGCUUGCCCCCUAUGGAGAGCGCCGGUGACCCGGCCCCCUCCCCUCCCACACAAUGCAGGAAGUAUGUCAUCUAAUAAGCCCAGUUUCUAAAGAAUGUUUUUAAUCUUGGAAUAGUGAGUGUGAUUUUUGAUUGUAUUUUUAAUUCUCUAUCUACUUUUUUAAAAGCACACGCUUUUGUUCUAAUUCUCAUCUUAGCUCAUCAGGGCCAGGAGGAAGCGUGGACAUCUUCCAUUCCAUGGAUCUGCUUAGCAUUUGACAGGGAGACACUGCUUUGGAGAAUCCUCCCAGGGCUCUUCUUACCUGUGGCGAGUCAUAAAACUCCUACUGAUCCAAACCUGCGUUCUCGUGGAGAGCCGUUUGAGAUUCACCAGAGCAGCAGGGGAGUCGUGACCCCCAGGGGCUCAGUAGAGCAUGAGCCUGGCCAUUGCCAAGCGGCCCGCCCAUGCGUGCUGUGGUUACACGGUCUUCAUGCUGGCUGGGGAGCCCCGAGAACUCGGGUUUGGUUCGUCCUCCAAACACGUGAACACGUGUUGAGCACUGACUGUGAAUUCGGCAGCUGUGAUGGGGGCUGAACUCAGGGCCAAGGAGCCAGGCUCCACUCCACUGUGACACCAGGUGUGGGGCUCGGUGCAGAGCCACACUUUGAACCUGAGAGAGUGGCUGAGCUGGAUGAUUCUCAAAGUGCGCUCUGCGGACCAGCAGCAGCACCACCAGCAGCAGCAUCACCCGGGAACUCAAAGGAAAUGCAGGUUCUCUGGCCUCUGCCGAAUGCACUGAAUCAGAAUCUGCAUUUUAACAAGAUCCCCAGGGUUGAAACCCAGGUUCCAGGCUGUGAGGAAGUCCAGGACACACUGAGAGGUCAUGUGUAGGUGUUCAGGCCAACAGCACAGCCAGGGGCUCAGCUGACAGCCAGCAUCAAUGACCAGAUGUAUGGGUGAGGAGGUCUUCGGAUGACUCCAGGCCAACUCCUAUCUGACUACAGCUACAACUGCACAAAAGAGCCCGAACGAGAAACACUGGCUGAGCCCAGUCAACCCUGGAACCAGAAGAGAUGAUAAUGCCAUCCAGCCCUGAGAUUUGUUUGGAGGGUGACGCGGCCAAGGAUGACACCCACUGCCCCAGAGGCUGGGGGACUGGCAGGUAUAUCUUAGGGUUUGGGGGUGGGAGUGAAGGUCAUCCUGAGGAGAGUCCUUUUUGAGUGUGUUAAGGUGUCUGUGUCCAUGUGGACGGGCUGUCAGAAUGGGCUGGGGGAUGCGGUCAGGGACCACUCCCAUUCCCAGGGCCUGGGUGUCCUGACCAUCCAUGCUAGGUCUGUUCCACGUUGGCCACACUGUUCCAGGCAAGCGCCUUUGGUCACACGGACUGGUCUCUGAGACUGGUCUGAUGUGUGUACUCUCAGGAGCCUGGACAGGGGCAGUCUCAAUCCAGAAAUGACCUCUUCAAUACUUGGUGUAGUUCCCUGUAUGAAACGCCCAAUAUUAUGAGCCACCCAGGCCUGGGUCACCUGCUGACUGGCUGGAGGAAGUGCAUGGGACCAUGUGAGGUCACGGCAGCCCCAGGGUUUGCAGGUCGUCUGCAUCCUGGCUCCCCCGCUUACAAGCUGUUUGACCUUGGUGAGGUUAGAUCAUCUUCCUAAGCUUCAGUUUCUUCAGCCACACAAUGGGUAUAACACUUACCCUUGAGGGUUACUGCGAUUGUCACACAAGGCAGCAUUUGCAUGGGCCCUGGGCCAUGCUAGACAUUCAUCAGGCACUGAAGCUAUGGGGGAGAGAAGUGAGGGGCCCAGGCUCUGGAGCCAGUGGGUUUAAACUCCACUCUACCACUAACAAGACAUUAUUAAAAACUUCUGUGCGCCUCCAUUUCCUCAUCUGUAACAUGGGGAUAAUAAUAGCACCUGCCUCCUGGCUUGUUGAGAGGAUAUAUGUAGUGCUUACAACAGCACAACACACAUAUAUGGGUACUUCACAAAUACAAAUCCAUUCAAGGAAACCAACCCUGGUGCCCUGGGAUGGCCGUUGGUCAGAGACACAGAAGCCGAAGCCAGCUUAGGACAAGCGGAGGGGCCCAGGCCUGCCCCUCGGUUCCGGGGGCCUCACUUCUGUUCCAGGGCUGUUCAGUUACCUGCUCCUAGGCCUGGGAGGCCCAGUGGACAACAGAGUGACCUCUUCUCCACUGAUUUGAUCUGAAUACAUUCUGCCCCAUGAGGGCCCAAAUGAGGGAACUGGUAUGAUAUUCACAGAGAGGUGACAUCACCCGCUGAAGAUCACACAGCAAGUCCCUGGGCCACCUGGAUCCCGGCCACAGCUCCACCCUGCUACCUCCCUCUCUUAAGUAACACAUUAAUAAGUGUCUUACCCUCAGGCCAUUAUCUGUGUUCCCAGGCCAGGGAACAUUUCUGAAACACAUCAAACAUUGACAAAAAGAGGUGUUUUUCUGUCCCCAGGCCAGGCCCUUCGGCCUCUGUUAACCAGUGAGUGUUCUCUGUUAAUCCUGAGCCCAGCUCCUCCUACACACAAGUACAAACAAGGGCAUUGGGCAUGGGAGAAACCUGUCCACCAGGGCCAGGAGGGGACACGGAAGGUUAAUGGGUCCCCUCCCCCAAAGCAAUGCACACAGCUGGGGCUCAAUAAGUGCUACUGGGUGGUAGGAACAGAGCCAGCUGAGGGCACAGGAAGAGGGAUCUGCUAAGCAGAGGAGGCCUGACCUGGGCUUCAUUGGGUAAAACCAGUCAUCAUAAUAAGUAGCUGGCAUUUCGGGAGCUCUUAGUUAGUUCCAGACACUGCCCUGAGCACUGGACAUGGUCACUCACUAACGUUUCCAUGUUUCAGUAUCUGUGGGGUGCAUAUGUUGCUCUCCCCAGUCUACAGACAGGAAGCUGCAGGCAAGAAAGAUGAAGUCAUUUGCUUAAGUCACACCAUUACCAAGAGGCCGAGCUUGGAUUCACACCCAGCACCCUGGCUCCAGACCCAAGCUCUCAACCACAAUACAAGCCUGUGGAGUGGGAGGGGUGAAAUACAUGAGUGAGGGGUGACUUCUAGGUAUUGGCUUGGGGUGGCUGUCCCUUUGAUGGAUAUGUGGGAGGAGCGCAGGUGUCAGGUGAGGUAUUGGGGAGAAGGUGGAUGAAUUGGGUUUGGCAGGUGUUGAGUUCCAGAUACCUGAGGAUGCUCAGGUGGAGGAGGCAGGAGAGAGGCGGCUUAUGGCUCUGAAGCUGGGUGAUGGGGGCUGGAGCUGCUCACUCCAGAGUCAUCAGCGUAGAAGCGCAGCCUGGGAGACACCUGAGCGAUGAAGGGGCAAGGCCACAGCUAAGGCAGGGGAAUUGAUAUUUAGUGUGCAAGGAUUCAAAAUGACAGCAAGAAAAGAAGUGUUUUAGAGACUAUUACUAUUAUUAUUAUUGAGACAGAGUCUUACUCUGUUGCCCAGGCUGGAGUGCAGGGGUGCAAUCAUAGCUUACUGUAACCUUGAACUCCUGGGCUGAAGUGAUACUCCGGCCUCCGCCUUCCGGGACUCAGCCACCACAACCAGCUAACUUUUAAAUUUUUCUGUAAAGACAGGGUGGGGGAG
RNAcentral lists this long non-coding RNA (4938 nucleotides) under Homo sapiens (human). Its description in RNAcentral is "HSALNT0351878". Lineage: Eukaryota; Metazoa; Chordata; Mammalia; Primates; Hominidae. The record is from RNAcentral.